ACUCUCUCUAUUUCUCUUUCACACUCACACUGAGCGAGUGAUUGAGAUUUGAGAGUUCCGAUUUGACAAUCCAAUCCACACAAGAAUGGGGGAAAACUACUGCAAUUCCAGAGGAUUUUCAAGGAUAAUGAAAUCCUGUUUUCCAAAUCCACAGCAAGAAUCUCAUCACCUGAUCAUCAAACCAUCAAUCAGAAAUCGUUUGUUAGAAGAUGAUCAGAAAUCUUCAUCAUUCUUCAUAUCGGUACUUCCUGAUGAUUUGCUUCAAGAAUGUUUAUCGAGAGUCCCAUCAUCAUCACUCUCAUCAGUUUCCCUUGUCUGUAGAAAAUGGUUCGGAAUACUGAACUCAACGUUAUAUUUCGACCUACGGCGGAGUCUCGGUCAUAUCCGCCGGAAAAUCUACGCGUUUAGUGUGACUGAUUACGGUGUUUAUGCUGCGAAUCACUGUGUAAAUGAUGGCGAAUCUGAUGAGAGUCAUGAAGAAGAAGUUGAUUCGUCUUCGUCUUCAGCUGGUUGGAGUUUGAGUAGUCCGUUUAGCGCGGCCGGAAUGUUAACUCAGGGUUCGUUUUCUCACUCGCGGGUGAUUUCAGUUGGGAAAGUGAUUUAUAUUGUGAAUAGAGAUGUCACGCUUGGUUACGAUGUGUGGAUGGGUGUGAUUACGGUGAAAUCUCCGAUGCUUUAUCCGAGGAAGAAAUUUGCAAUGGCGAAUGUCAACGGGAAGAUUUACAUUUCCGGUGGAGCAGCACGGAAUGAAGUGGUGGAGGAGUAUGAGCCGGAGACAGAUACGUGGAGAGUGGUUUCGGAAGCGCCGAGGAGGAGAUAUGGUUGCAUUGGAGCAGCUGUGGACGGAGUGUUCUAUGUGAUUGGCGGGUUGAAGAUUGGCGGCGGCGGUAAUGGGAAAAAUGAGAUGGUGACUCGGGGAGGUUGUUCGGAGGCGCAUUUGUAUGCGAGUUCGAUGGAUUUGUUUGAUGUGCAGAGUAGGGUGUGGAUGAGGAGCCGGACAGUGCCAGGAGGUGGAUGUGUUGUGGCGGCAUGUGCAGCGGGGGGUUAUGUUUACAUUUUGGCAAGUCAUGCUGUUGAAUUGUCAUUUUGGAGGUUUGAUGGGAGAAGGAAACGAAAUGGUGGUGGUGGUGGGUUUGGCAAGUGGUGUAGGAUGAAGAGUCCGCCGUUGCCGGCACAAGUUAGAUUGGAUAGUAGUGUUAGGUUUAGUUGUGUUGGAAUUGGUGGCGAGAAUUAUAGCGGUGGCAAUGAUAAUAAGGUGGUGUUGGUUCAAGUUUUGGGAUGUAUUGAUGAUUUAUUGAGGAGAAGCCGAAGGAGUUGUAGAGGGAUGAAGGAAGGAUUGGUUUUGGUUUAUGAUGGCAAUGUGGAGGAGUGGUCAAGAGGUGUUGAUUUGCCCGAAGUUAUCCGCCGUGCUUCUUGUGUUUCCGUUGAGUGCUAAUUCGCAACAAAAUGAUGGAUGUUUUCAUUCAAGUCUGGGUCUGGCCAUGAGAAUUAGGAAACACGGUGCAGAUCUUUGUUCAGAAUCAGCCUGCUGCUGCCUGGAACAAACUCGAGCACCCAGUUCAUCAGCAACAAGUCAUCUCCCAAACAAAACACAUGGUGUGAAUUGUUGCAUUUUCAUGACAGCAAGCACUACAUUAUUAGGUGAAGUUACAAGAGCUAAAAGGCACUGUAAUGCAAGAUGGAAUGAGAACAGUGGGGGUUAUAUUGAAAAUAAUCCUUCGCCAAAUAAACAUUUUUUAGAAACUCGCUGUUAGAUUGUUGUUGAAAUUCUUCUUGAUUUCAAUAUGUUUAGAGUCUGCUACAAUUUUCCAUCUGUACAUUUUUUUGGCCCAGCCAACCACGUCCAUCCCUGGGCUCUGCCAUUUUUUAUACUGUUCAUAGGUGAUGAUUCAGAGGUUACAGAAAAAUAAAUAAAGGCAUGCUACAAGUUUGUGC
Molecule: RNA transcript, 1935 nt
Organism: Papaver somniferum (opium poppy)
Lineage: Eukaryota; Viridiplantae; Streptophyta; Magnoliopsida; Ranunculales; Papaveraceae
Gene name: F-box/kelch-repeat protein At5g26960-like
Exons: 3
Source: RefSeq, a predicted model, not a curated record